CAAGAAAUUCCUUUCCAAUCGCAAUACACUCACAUGAUGUUACAUCGCACUCUAACUUUUUCAACGUGCAGCCAUAUUCUAAGGAAACCUCACAAUGGGCUUAUGAGGUUAUUCUUGUUCAAACUACACAAGAAAAAACCCCAAAACACUCACCACAUGAGGUGAAAAGCACUUUGCUGUAACCAGCUAUUUUACAAAAAAAGAGAUCUCAAAAUAUAAAAGAACAACUCAGGAGUUACAGAGUAUUAUGUCAACAUAAAUAUCUCUUUACCCACAUAUGGGCACGAUUCCGAUUACUUUGGCGGCGGGGUAAAAAAAACGAAUUUCCAUAUAAAUGGGAUAUGGGUAACUUCUUCAGAGGAGGAAUAUCCAAAAAUAAUGUAAAAAUAACUAAUAUUUUUUGAAAUAUUCACGUUUAAAAAUUCAAAAAUUUGCACUAAGAAAACAUGUUAUUUCUCUAUGUUUCUCUAAGAUUUUUAACAUUUUCCUCUUGUUAUAUUUAAAUAUACACUUUAAAGAUUGAAAUAAGUUCACAUUUCACUUUUAUUUUGUAAUAUUUUACCUAUAUUUAUUAAUUUAAAAAUCACUUAGAACACUCAUCGUUGCAAAGGCUAGAUUGUUUACAAUUAUGAGGAAAACGAGCGCUGCCACAUCUCAAACACCAAAUUUGUAGGAUUCUUAACGAUUUUUCUUUGUUUGUUCUUUUGCGUGAUUCUUUUUUCUAUAUUAAUUAUAAUAAAAAAUACUUUCCAACAGUUUUCAAGUUAUAAUAUUGAGUUGUGAAAACUUGUUCCAUAUAUGAAUACAUAUAUACUAUACAUAUGUAUGUAUAUGUAUAAUAUGCGAUUUAUGUUUAAUAAAAAUAAAGAAGUAAAAAUCUAUAACAAUAUUGUAAAAUUUAUAUCAUAUCGGGGUGACUGAAGUACUUUCGCGUAGUACUGCUUUCUGCGUU
Molecule: long non-coding RNA, 952 nt
Organism: Bactrocera neohumeralis
Lineage: Eukaryota; Metazoa; Arthropoda; Insecta; Diptera; Tephritidae
Exons: 2
Source: RefSeq, a predicted model, not a curated record